GACGAACGCUGGCGGCGUGCCUAAUACAUGCAAGUGGGACGCAAGGAAACACACUGUGCUUGCACACCGUGUUUUCUUGAGUCGCGAACGGGUGAGUAACGCGUAGGUAACCUGCCUAUUAGCGGGGGAUAACUAUUGGAAACGAUAGCUAAUACCGCAUAAUAUUAAUUAUUGCAUGAUAAUUGAUUGAAAGAUGCAAGCGCAUCACUAGUAGAUGGACCUGCGUUGUAUUAGCUAGUUGGUAAGGUAAGAGCUUACCAAGGCGACGAUACAUAGCCGACCUGAGAGGGUGGUCGGCCACACUGGGACUGGGACACGGCCCAGACUCCUACGGGAGGCAGCAGUAGGGAAUCUUCGGCAAUGGACGAAAGUCUGACCGAGCAACGCCGCGUGAGUGAAGAAGGUUUUCGGAUCGUAAAGCUCUGUUGUAAGUCAAGAACGUGUGUGAGAGUGGAAAGUUCACACAGUGACGGUAGCUUACCAGAAAGGGACGGCUAACUACGUG
Molecule: ribosomal RNA, 505 nt
Filed under: uncultured bacterium
Lineage: Bacteria
Description: partial 16S ribosomal RNA
Rfam family: Bacterial small subunit ribosomal RNA
Source: RNAcentral